GGGUUGGGGCUAGGGUUAGGGUUGGGACCCCUUGGGGUCUGACCAGAAAAUUCAGUUUAUGGGGAGAUCCCUAGAGGUAUUACAAGGAAAGAGAAAGCGACAGCUUUUCAUUCGGACAUAUUUUGGGUGGACAGUAAAUUUCAUGGGAAAAUCCCAUUCAGAAAAUUAAACUAGGGUUAGGGUUGGGGCUAGGGUUAGGGUUAGGUCUCCUUGGGGUCUGGCCAGAAAACUAACCUUCACGGGAGAUUCCUAGAGGUAUUACAAGGAAAGAGAAAGCGACAGCUUUUCAUUCGGACAUAUUUUGGAUGCACAGUAAAUUACAUGAGAAAAUUCCAUUCACAAAAUUAAACUAGGGUUAGGGUUGGGGCUAGGGUUAGGGUUAGGUCUCCUUGGGGUCUGGCCAGAAACCUAACCUUCUGGAGAGAUUCCUAGAGGUAUUACAAGGAAAGAGAAAGCGACAGCUUUUCAUUCUGACAUAUUUUGGAUGCACAGUAAAUUACAUGGGAAAAUCCCAUUAAGAACAUUAAACUAGGGUUAGGGUUGGGGCUAGGGUUCGGGUUAGGUCUCCUUGGGGUCUGGCCAGAAAACUAACCUUCUGGGGAGAUUCCUAGAGCUAAUACAA
Pseudonaja textilis is the source of this 622-nucleotide non-coding RNA. NCBI's taxonomy places the organism in Eukaryota, Metazoa, Chordata, Lepidosauria, Squamata, Elapidae. The record is from RefSeq and is a predicted model, not a curated record.